Meriones unguiculatus (Mongolian gerbil) is the source of this 971-nucleotide long non-coding RNA. RefSeq lists it as uncharacterized. The record is from RefSeq and is a predicted model, not a curated record. The transcript has 4 exons. Lineage: Eukaryota; Metazoa; Chordata; Mammalia; Rodentia; Muridae.
ACCGCAGAGCUGAGGAAUGCAGAGGAAGGGCGUGGACAGGCCCUGGGGACUCCAGGGAUCAGGACGUGGAAGGCGCACGGAUGACCAGGCUCUCACCUUUGACCUUCCCUAGGAGCUUGCUGAGAAGCUGAGAAAGUCUGGCCCAAAGCUCGCCAGGAGCCUGGGAGGCUCCAGAAGUGGAAUAGAUGUCCAUUCGCCUGGUCUUGGAUUUUGGCCCUGAAGAAUGUGAGGUCUCCCCUGUCUAGGCUUCAUCCAAUGUAGGAGAGAGUCUCCUGGCUGCCUUUGGGUCAAGAUGCAGAACUCUCCUCCAACACCAUGUCUGCCUUCGCACUGCCGUGCUUCUGCCAUGAUGAUAAUGGACUGAAACUCUGAAACUAUACCUUACCAUCAUAGAAAGCUUGACAACGGACCUCAGAAGAGGAAAUGACACUUGCUUCAUACUCCAUCACUGACCAAGUGACCCUGUCCUGUCCUAGGACUCCAGCCCCUUACUUCUUCCAUUGUCCCAAAGUGUGGUACUAUCGAGGGCAUGAGGUUCUUCUGCUCCCAGAUAAACACCGGGGGAACCAGAAAUGCCAAACACGCAGCUCGUCUCUUUCACAGAAGGGAUGUGUGGUCCUGUUUUCCACUUAGAAGGCUGGGAGUGGACGUUGCUAAUAGCCUGGUGAUCUGAGCUAUCUGCAGGGCCAGGCCAUACCCAAAUCCCCCAGAAUGUUUAUCCGAGACUCCUUCUCCUUAGACCUUUAUCUUGGGCAUUGUUUCUUGGCCAACAGAAGGCAUCCUUAUGGGAAAUGUCACAUGUACUUCGUAGGUCGGUGACCUCUACACUAUCUGUAACCAAGAUCACGCCAGAUGGCCCUACACCGCCUUAAGCUUUAUUGACGCACAUUGGAUUGAAAAAGUUGUUUCCAGAAAACUUUUUUUCACCCCAAAAGUUGCACUGUAUUUAAAUGCCUAAAAAAAUAAAUUGU